CGCCGCGUGAGUGAUGAAGGCUUUCGGGUCGUAAAACUCUGUUGUUAGGGAAGAACAAGUACGAGAGUAACUGCUCGUACCUUGACGGUACCUAACCAGAAAGCCACGGCUAACUACGUGCCAGCAGCCGCGGUAAUACGUAGGUGGCAAGCGUUAUCCGGAAUUAUUGGGCGUAAAGCGCGCGCAGGCGGUUUCUUAAGUCUGAUGUGAAAGCCCACGGCUCAACCGUGGAGGGUCAUUGGAAACUGGGGAACUUGAGUGCAGAAGAGAAAAGCGGAAUUCCACGUGUAGCGGUGAAAUGCGUAGAGAUGUGGAGGAACACCAGUGGCGAAGGCGGCUUUUUGGUCUGUAACUGACGCUGAGGCGCGAAAGCGUGGGGAGCAAACAGGAUUAGAUACCCUGGUAGUCCACGCCGUAAACGAUGAGUGCUAAGUGUUAGAGGGUUUCCGCCCUUUAGUGCUGCAGCUAACGCAUUAAGCA
This 480-nucleotide ribosomal RNA is filed under the name Priestia megaterium. RNAcentral's name for it is "bacterial SSU rRNA". It matches the Rfam family "Bacterial small subunit ribosomal RNA", at positions 395 to 866 of the family's 1533-position model. The record is from RNAcentral. Lineage: Bacteria; Bacillati; Bacillota; Bacilli; Caryophanales; Bacillaceae.